This 495-nucleotide ribosomal RNA is filed under the name uncultured bacterium. Its description in RNAcentral is "partial 16S ribosomal RNA". It matches the Rfam family "Bacterial small subunit ribosomal RNA", at positions 28 to 507 of the family's 1533-position model. The record is from RNAcentral.
GACGAACGCUGGCGGCGUGCCUAAUACAUGCAAGUAGAACGCUGAAGGAGGAGCUUGCUCUUCUGGAUGAGUUGCGAACGGGUGAGUAACGCGUAGGUAACCUGCCUGGUAGCGGGGGAUAACCAUUGGAAACGAUAGCUAAUACCGCAUAAGAGUAGAUGUUGCAUGACAUUUACUUAAAAGGUGCAAUUGCAUCACUACCAGAUGGACCUGCGUUGUAUUAGCUAGUUGGUGGGGUAACGGCUUACCAAGGCGACGAUACAUAGCCGACCUGAGAGGGUGAUCGGCCACACUGGGACUGAGACACGGCCCAGACUCCUACGGGAGGCAGCAGUAGGGAAUCUUCGGCAAUGGACGGAAGUCUGACCGAGCAACGCCGCGUGAGUGAAGAAGGUUUUCGGAUCGUAAAGCUCUGUUGUAAGAGAAGAACGAGUGUGAGAGUGGAAAGUUCACACUGUGACGGUAUCUUACCAGAAAGGGACGGCUAACUACGUG